UUUUUGCUCAAGGAAUACAAAUUUAUUACCUUAAGUUGCAUUUAAAAGAAUGUUUUUAGGGUAAUUUCCAGACCUAUGUCCCAUCCUUCUACUUUUAAUCUUCCUAACAACAUGUAUAUGAAUUGAGCACAAAUAGCCCUCAGAGUACAGUAUUUGGAAAGCUACCUAAUAAGUGGAAGAUAAGGUCCACGGUCAAACUCUACACUUGAUCUUCCCUUCUAUGAACAGCAAACCUAAGAGUAAUUCGUCAUAAAGUACAGAGUUGUUUAUUGUUGUAAAAUAUUUAAUUCAAGUAGUCUUUGCCUUUUUCUGGAUUUUCUGAACAGAAGCGCAUUUAAAAUCCUGAUAAUUUUUAAAGACAAGCUUUGUUUCAAUUUAAAAGCUCCAGUAUAACUUCUGUCAUAAACAUUAACUCUCUAGGUCUGAAUUUAGCUCCCCAUUACCUGUCGGCCAGGCAGCCAGCAGCCCAGUGCUACAAAAGCAUGUUGAAUCGAUACUGGGAUCAUUGGUGAUGCCAUGUCAGGUUUCUCGUGUCUUAUCCCAUUCCAUUCUCCAACAAGCCUCACAAAACAGAGUUUCAUGUCCUCUGGGUCUUGGCUCCAUUCUUAUUUAUUUUAAUGAACUGUUCUGACUUAUGCUCCUUAUUACCGUAUCCCUUGUGUGUGUUCCUAAAAUCAAAAUUCACACUUUUCUAGAAUAACACCACUUCAAAAAGAAUUGUGAUUCAUGUUCUAAGUCUGUGAAUAAGCUGUAUUCCC
RNAcentral lists this long non-coding RNA (758 nucleotides) under Bos taurus (domestic cattle). RNAcentral describes it as "long non-coding RNA NONBTAT012118". Lineage: Eukaryota; Metazoa; Chordata; Mammalia; Artiodactyla; Bovidae. The record is from RNAcentral.